UAAUUGAAGAGUUUGAUCAUGGCUCAGAUUGAACGCUGGCGGCAGGCCUAACACAUGCAAGUCGAGCGGUAGCACAAGAGAGCUUGCUCUCUGGGUGACGAGCGGCGGACGGGUGAGUAAUGUCUGGGAAACUGCCUGAUGGAGGGGGAUAACUACUGGAAACGGUAGCUAAUACCGCAUAACGUCUUCGGACCAAAGUGGGGG
Molecule: ribosomal RNA, 204 nt
Filed under: Serratia proteamaculans
Lineage: Bacteria; Pseudomonadati; Pseudomonadota; Gammaproteobacteria; Enterobacterales; Yersiniaceae
Description: partial 16S ribosomal RNA
Rfam family: Bacterial small subunit ribosomal RNA
Source: RNAcentral